RNAcentral lists this transfer RNA (88 nucleotides) under Acidithiobacillus ferrivorans. RNAcentral's name for it is "tRNA-Ser". It matches the Rfam family "tRNA". Rfam says of the family: Transfer RNA (tRNA) molecules are approximately 80 nucleotides in length. Their secondary structure includes four short double-helical elements and three loops (D, anti-codon, and T loops). Further hydrogen bonds mediate the characteristic L-shaped molecular structure. tRNAs have two regions of fundamental functional importance: the anti-codon, which is responsible for specific mRNA codon recognition, and the 3' end, to which the tRNAs corresponding amino acid is attached (by aminoacyl-tRNA synthetases). tRNAs cope with the degeneracy of the genetic code in two manners: having more than one tRNA (with a specific anti-codon) for a particular amino acid; and 'wobble' base-pairing, i.e. permitting non-standard base-pairing at the 3rd anti-codon position. The record is from RNAcentral. Lineage: Bacteria; Pseudomonadati; Pseudomonadota; Acidithiobacillia; Acidithiobacillales; Acidithiobacillaceae.
GGAAAGCUGGCUCAAUUGGUACAGCAGCGGGUUGCUAACCCGCCGUCAUCGAAAGGUGGCUUACAGGUUCUUCCUGUGCUUUCCGCCA